Non-coding RNA from Python bivittatus (Burmese python), 3026 nucleotides. The record is from RefSeq and is a predicted model, not a curated record. NCBI's taxonomy places the organism in Eukaryota, Metazoa, Chordata, Lepidosauria, Squamata, Pythonidae.
AGGAAGAAGAGAUGCCAGAUGUAGAAAUUGAUAUUGAUGAUCUUCUUGAUGCUGCUAAUGAAGAGGAGAGAGCCCUCAAAUUACAAGAAGCGCUUGUAGAUUGCUACAAACCUACAGAGGAUUUUAUCAAAGAACUUCUAACUCGGAUAAGAGGGAUGAGGAAAUUGAGCCCUCCUCAAAAGAAGAGUAUAUAAGUGAAAACAGAGCCCUCUUGAGAGAAGUGAUCAAUAAACUGGGACUAUUAAAUAGGACGUCUACUAGUUUGGUCAUUAUGAGCAAUUUUCUCUUUUUUGGUUGAAUUCUGACAUUUUAAAGAAUUCAACCCCUUCUGUUUAAGGCAUUUUUUUUUAAGUGUCAGUUUAUUUUAUCACAAAUAGCAACAUUACGGAUGCUGCUUUUACUACCUGCGGAUGAUCAAGAUAGACGGGAAAACACCAAUUUUAGAGUGACUUUCCCAGGCAUUAAUCCUGCCUGAAUUCUACAUAGAACUCCUAGGGAAAUGCUGUUCCUUUACAACCAGUUUGAUCAUUUGUACACCAGACUCAUGGAUGUUAAGGUUCUUGUGCUUGUGUACAUAAAUUAUCAAGUGAGUGUUACUAUUGAUUCACAUCAGUGGAAAGGAAAUGUGCUCUAAGUAACAAUAUAAACCGAAGUUAUAACCAAUGUGGUGUUGGGGGAGGGAAGGGGUGCAAUUUGUUAAAUGGGGGUGCUGCCACUGUUAAAGCAUUGCAACAAAUGCCACUGUUCAUAAAGCAACACAUAAGCAAACUGGGGUCCAAGGGCUUGAUUUUUUAGGGUUUGAACUACAUCUACCAACGUUGAGGCUCAGCCAGAUAAGCUCUCUUCGUCUUAUGAUCUGGUAGGAUUGAUCAACCUACUGCUAAAGGAUCUGAUAGGACAGCAAGAAAAAGGCCAAUACCAUUAUGAGAGAGUCUUGGGGGGGGGGAGAAAAUGCAAGUCAAUCCCCCCCCCUUCUUAUAACAAGAAUAUCCAGUUACCUCUUCCUAUUUUGACAUCCAACUUGGUAGGUUGGCUGGCUGGCUUAGUGAUUUCAGUUGUAGAGGUGAAAGCCUGUUCCCCAGACUCUUCAGGAAAACAUUAUUUGCUCAAAUGCAGGGUUUCUCAACUGUAGCAAUUUAAUAACAUGCUAGCUGGGGAAUUCUGGGAGUUGAAGUCCACACGUUUUAAAAUUGCCAAGGUUGAGAAACACUGCUGUAAUGUUUCACAAGCUACCAUCUGCUGGUAGAUGCUAGUCUGGCAUUUUAUAUCAAGGGUGCUCUGAACAUAAUUUUAUUUUUUAAAAAGAAGAAAUACAUGUUUGUGGACUUUAUGUAUACUGGCAAGCUUUUUUAAAUGUAUUUAAUUUUGUAAUGUUUUAUUAAUGACUUUAUUUACCAGAUAUUUACUCAAAUAAAUGCAACAAAUUGAGGUGUUGUUAUGUAUAUUGUAACUAUUGAUAGAAAACUGGAACAUGAAAUUGAAAAACUAUUUAUUUGGGUAGGCAACUAACAACCUCUUACACUCUGUGCACACUCAUUGUUUCCUAAAGAGCUGGCAUAUAUAUGCCCUCAGGAAGGUAUAUUGAAGCAACAACUUUCCUCAGUUUUCAGAAUUGUUAUUUUUAUUUAAAUGAUACAGCUAUCUGAAUGGCAAAAUUCCCUGAAAAGGAGUGUGUUUCCCAAACACGUUAUGUUAUGUUUUAUGUUUUAAUAUUAAUUGUGAGUCACAUAAAGAUACGUAAAACCUUGUCCCCUCACUUGUGCCAACUCAUAUCCCAUGUAUUUCUCUAAAGUAAAUGUGAAGAUAUGUUUUAUUUCAUCCCCUGCAUUUUGUUUGAUAAUUUUACUGAAAUGCUUUUAGAAUCAAAGAAUCAUUUGGAAUCAUUUAAUGGAAAUGAUUGGAGAAAAAUAACACAUUGCAUCCUUUAGAAGGAAGAAUGCUAGGUAGAAUUUAAAAGAUUACAAAAGAAUUAGCUAUCUAGAUCAGCUGUAGAAGUGUUGUUUUGUGCCCUUGAUUAUUUUAAUACUGAAAUAAUUACAGAUGAAAUUUUAGCAGAUGUUCGUGACCUAUAAAUAGUAAUUAGCAUAAUUACACUUCUUCUUACAAAUACUCAUUUGAGGUGGGAAGGAGGUGGCAAUAUUAGGGUCUGUCUGAUCUAGAAGCUGAACUAAAAUGUUCUUUCUGUGUUUAGAUUGGUGUUUAGAAAUGGUAGCAAUUUGAGGAAUGAUUUGGCCGUUAUGAGGUUUUAUCCCAACUUCAUAAUCCCUGCACUGUUCUGUUCCUAAGACAAGAGACAAAUCAGAAAGAAACUUUUCACGCUUGUUUUUUUUAAAAGGUGUAACAGUAUUAAUUAUACCCCCAUCCAUUAAAGAAGUUCAGAAUUUACUAUAAAGAGCAUCAGUUGAAUGCAGGGCAGACCAUAUGCACUUUCACAUUGCCACUCUGUGUUACAACUCCCCGGUCCCUUAAAAGUAGCUUGAAAUAAGUCCAUAGUAACCUUGAUUUCUGUGGAUGUCAAAACCCUGAUGUAUAGUGAAACAAACAUGAUAGAUAGUGCAAACAAACAUAAUCCAAGAUGAGCGCUGCCUCAGAGGAACAAAAAUCCCCUCACCCCACUCCACACAAAAGGGGAGCAAAAUGCUACCACCCCCAGGCCACAUCUGUAUUUUACCUUACGUGCAUUGUCUGGUCACAUGCAGUAAUAAUAAUGAAAACUCUGGUCAUUUGCUUAGAGGUAAAUGGGGGGUGGAUAACUUUCCAUGAAUGGAAGAAUAAAUUGCCCACAAAUUCAACAAGGCUGUAGCAGUAUAAAGGUUUUGCUCCAGUUUCAGAUAAACUGGUGUAGAACCAGGAACAAUAGCAAACAAAGUUGGUUUUUGAACAAAGCUGAUGAUGUGGAAUUGCAGAUGCAGAGCUGUUUUUGAACUGCCGCAGAACUCCAUAUGGAGGUGCUCUGUAUCUUCAGUUAUGCUCAGACAGGUGUGUUUCUUUGCUGUUUUUCUCAUUAAAAAUGAGAAAAAAACCUC